Hydra vulgaris (swiftwater hydra) is the source of this 177-nucleotide non-coding RNA. NCBI's taxonomy places the organism in Eukaryota, Metazoa, Cnidaria, Hydrozoa, Anthoathecata, Hydridae. The record is from RefSeq and is a predicted model, not a curated record.
CAAACUUUCUAAAAUUGGAGGUAAAACCAUUAAGACAAAUACAAAUAAAUGUGAUGCAAAGUGUAUGACAGCAUGCAACCUUAAUCAAACUUUUAACCUGACAAAGUGUCUCAUAACUUGUAAAAAUUAUAAUUUGUGUGAACUUGGUUGUUUAUUGUACAGUCAUAUUAAAAAAAA